Molecule: long non-coding RNA, 2350 nt
Filed under: Musa acuminata (dwarf banana)
Lineage: Eukaryota; Viridiplantae; Streptophyta; Magnoliopsida; Zingiberales; Musaceae
Description: long non-coding RNA (MACU_LNC008912)
Source: RNAcentral
AGGAAAGACAUGCAGAGCCGAUCAAUAGCACCGAUAGCAGAGCCCUUGCUUGCAUCUUUCGACCCCACCCAAAACUUUGACCUUAAAGUCGCCCCAUCAGUGAGAAGGAAUUCAUUCCCUUACUCUCUUGUUUAUGUCUGGCAUAAAAGUGCAAAACGCAGAAUCAUAUAUCGCCUUAGCGCCGCCACUUUCUUUCUCAAAAACAUGAACGAGGCAGCAUUUGGCUCUGGCCAGCCUUUCAUCCAAAACCUCUUACCCAUAUUCCCCUGCUUUGGCUUGUAAAGAGCUCAACUGAUCCGAGGCGCAUUCAGGACUUGGGCUCACUGGGCGCAUUCCAUUGAAAAGCUCAUAGGGCUCGCUCGUCCUUAGGAAGAGGUGCGCAAGAAAAGACAGAAGAAACCCCUUGUCCGAGUCUAAAGGGAUGAUGACGUGAAGAAGGUAGCUUAGUGCUGGUGAGAAUCGAAUUACGCUGCUCUCAGUUCAUCAGCACUCAUCUAUCGUUCUAUAAGCAAACAAUGAAUUGAAUGGGAUCAAGAUAACCGAACCAAGACAAGAGUAUUAGAUUAUUAAAGAGAUUUAUUGACCAGGGCGCCUACAAGGGAUGAAUUCGAAUUAGUUGAGGGUAGUUUAUUAGUAGACCACCUAAACGAAACUCCACCGAUAGAAUAACAAUAGGUACGGCUGGGCUGUAGUCAUCCAUUCCUUGGGAUGAAUGUGGUGAAGACAAGAAAUACUUUUGAUAGUCCGCACAGAGCAGAAAGAAUGUAGUCACUUUAUUAAACCACCUUAUCGAGUAUAUAUUUCGAUAGAGUUUAGACUAAUCUGACAACGAUCUUACCUCUUUCGUCGAGUGCGCGAUCAUGACACCACGUCCUAUUCCUAUUGACGAGAUUUCUCUUAGCUCUCUAGCUGAGGUCACACAAAAUAGAUUCUACAAUAUCCUUUUAGUGAAAAAGAAAGUUCCAAAAGAGCUGAUAAACGAGUUAGUGAUUUAGAACACGAGCCCUUGAACCUAAUCCGAGAGUGUACGGAAGGUAGCUCGACCAACUCCUCUAAAUAGAAAGCAAGAAGAGAUUAACUUAGAACUUUGAAGAAAGCUUAAACACUCUUGACCAAGCGCUUAGUUAUGAUGCUGAAGAGCUGUGCGAGUAGAGCGUAAAGUAGGCUAGGCUAGGUCUUGUCGACAGAUGAUGCAUGGGUCGGUAGUAGAGAACCAGCAGAAAGGGAGGAGCUGGUAUACUUGGGUCAUCGGCUUAUCCGAGUCAAGAUAGAAAAAGAGAAGAGUCAAUCAUCCGUAAGGGAAGUAUAUUAAUGAGGAAAGAAUAAAGGACCUCUGCAUGACCAACUAGAACUACCUUUGCACUAAAGAUUCAUUAAGAAGUACUCCCGCUUGAUUUGACUCGGGCCGAAAGAAAGGCCAUAGCGUGCGUUGCGUUACAGGCACUAAAGGAUAAUGUCUACGAAGGACCUGUUCCGCCCAUGCAUGCCAGACGUUAAGAAGCCCUUAGAAAUCGAUCGACGCUUCUGCUCCUUUGGAACCAACCGCAAGAAGGUUGAGUAGUCGCAUACCACAGUGAGAUCUUCAAUCCAUACAUCUUCCACUAUCCCACCUACGUAUGAGAAGGCUGUAAAAGACUGGAGGCUUGCUCGGGAGGUAGGCGCUUGACGAAUAGGCCUCAAAGAAGGAAAGCCCCUUUUCACCUAUUUACGGAAGGAGUAAAAGCUUAUGAAGGCGCAUCAUAUAAUGUCACUUUCACUUCCUGCAAUGGUUCGACUUGGUGAUCAAGUAAAAGAAAAUAAGGUUGUGCCCGCCUUAUUAGUAAAGCGCUGCUUUCUACCACUUUAUUGGACUUCGGGGACUUAAUGACCGGCGGAGUAGUAAGAAGGACUAAAGUACGUCCGGGAGAGGCCCGACUGCAGACAGCAGAUGGCUAGGGCCGCCGACUGACUCUAGAAAGACGGUCGGGUCGGACAAAGAAAGGCUUCUCGUGAGGCCAGAGUUUGAUUAGACUUGGAAGUUGAGAAAAGUGUGCUCACCUGUAAAAGGAAUGAAUUCUUAUUGGCCCUUCCUUUGAUACUUAAACAAAGACUCCUGUCUCUUUGUCUUCAACUCAGAAGAGAGAAUCCAACUACUGUAGAAUAGGCUUACGCUCCUUACUUUCAUUCCGUAGCUACUGAUCCCAAGGUCUACUACCCUUACCCUCAUUCUCUUGUAGUUCAAUUGUUAGGCUUUAGUCUUUGCGUAGUAUUUGAAACUGACCUUCCAUUCCUUGCUGUUAGCCUGCCCCCUUGAACACACAUUUCUUAUUUAUAACCUAUGAGCCUGCUCGCCUUGCCUGCAUUCCCAUAC